AUUGAACGCUGGCGGCAUGCUUUACACAUGCAAGUCGAACGCGAAAGGGGGCAACCCCGAGUAGAGUGGCGAACGGGUGAGUAAUGCAUCGGAACGCGUCCUGUAGUGGGGGACAACCCCGAGAAAUCGGGGCUAAUACCGCAUACGAUCUGCGGAUGAAAGUGGGGACCGCAAGGCCUCACGCUAUAGGAGCGGCCGAUGCCGGAUUAGCUAGUUGGUGGGGUAAAGGCCCACCAAGGCGACGAUCCGUAGCUGGUCUGAGAGGACGACCAGCCACACUGGGACUGAGACACGGCCCAGACUCCUACGGGAGGCAGCAGUGGGGAAUUUUGGACAAUGGGCGCAAGCCUGAUCCAGCCAUGCCGCGUGAGUGAAGAAGGCCU
RNAcentral lists this ribosomal RNA (383 nucleotides) under uncultured bacterium. RNAcentral describes it as "bacterial SSU rRNA". It matches the Rfam family "Bacterial small subunit ribosomal RNA", at positions 29 to 417 of the family's 1533-position model. The record is from RNAcentral.